This 580-nucleotide ribosomal RNA is filed under the name Hughleechia giuliani. RNAcentral describes it as "SSU rRNA". It matches the Rfam family "Eukaryotic small subunit ribosomal RNA", at positions 41 to 602 of the family's 1831-position model. Lineage: Eukaryota; Metazoa; Arthropoda; Insecta; Coleoptera; Hydraenidae. The record is from RNAcentral.
AGAUUAAGCCAUGCAUGUCUCAGUACAAGCCAAAUUAAGGUGAAACCGCGAAAGGCUCAUUAAAUCAGUUAUGGUUCCUUAGAUCGUACACACACUUACUUGGAUAACUGUGGUAAUUCUAGAGCUAAUACAUGCAAAUAGAACUCCAACCGGAGACGGAAGGAGCGCUUUUAUUAGAUCAAAACCUAUCGGCAACGGUUCGCCGUUGUCGUAUUAUUUGGUGAUUCUGAAUAACUUUUUGCUGAUCGCACGGUCUAGCACCGGCGACGCAUCUUUCAAAUGUCUGCCUUAUCAACUGUCGAUGGUAGGUUCUGCGCCUACCAUGGUUGUAACGGGUAACGGGGAAUCAGGGUUCGAUUCCGGAGAGGGAGCCUGAGAAACGGCUACCACAUCCAAGGAAGGCAGCAGGCGCGCAAAUUACCCACUCCCGGCACGGGGAGGUAGUGACGAAAAAUAACGAUACGGGACUCAUCCGAGGCCCCGUAAUCGGAAUGAGUACACUCUAAACUCUUUAACGAGGAUCAAUUGGAGGGCAAGUCUGGUGCCAGCAGCCGCGGUAAUUCCAGCUCCAAUAGCGUAU